GCGCACGGGUGCGUAACGCGUAUGCAACCUACCUUUUAUUGGGGGAUAGCCCGUCGAAAGACGGAUUAAUACCGCAUAAGAUCAUAGCCUGGCAUCAGGCAUUGAUUAAAGCUACGGCGAUAAAAGAUGGGCAUGCGUGACAUUAGCUAGUUGGUUGAGGUAACGGCUCACCAAGGCAACGACGCGUAGGGGGUCUGAGAGGAUGGCCCCCCACAUUGGGACUGAGAUACGGCCCAGACUCCUACGGGAGGCAGCAGUGGGGAAUCUUGCGCAAUGGCCGAAAGGCUGACGCAGCGACGCCGCGUGCGGGAGGACGCCUUUCGGGGUGUAAACCGCUGUCAGGAGGGACGAAUCCCCGGGGGAGGCAAUGCCCUCGGGUUGACGGUACCUCCAGAGGAAGCACCGGCU
This 408-nucleotide ribosomal RNA is filed under the name uncultured bacterium. RNAcentral's name for it is "bacterial SSU rRNA". It matches the Rfam family "Bacterial small subunit ribosomal RNA", at positions 98 to 498 of the family's 1533-position model. The record is from RNAcentral.